AUGCACCGCCCCGAAGCCCCCGGCCGACAUGGUGAGCUUGAGCGCUUCGCUCUGACUGGCCAUCCACUGCUGCCGCUGCUGCUCGUCGCUGAGCUUCAGAGCCCCCUCGGCCGAGUCCGAGGGUUCAGGAGAGGCUUUCCUCUUGCGCAUCGCCCCGCCGCCGCCGCCGCCGCCGCCACCACCAGGUCCCCUAGAGGCGGCGGCCGUGCCCUGCGCCCCGCCGGCCCCGGCCCCCGGCCGCGGGAGACUCACCAGCGCCGUGGGCAGCAUGGGGCAGCUGGCGUCCAGGUAGGGCUGCGGCAGCAUGUCGGCGCCCACCAGCUCCUUGAAGAAGCGCACAGACUCGGGCAGCAGGUCCCCCAGGAGCCGCCAGUCGCCAGAGCCGUGCUUCUUCUCGUACUCCAGGUACUUGAAGCCCGAGGAGAGGCCGCGGCCGAAGUCCUUCAUACAGUCCUGGUACAUCUGCUUGGCCACGCCAGAGGCGCUGGAGAAGACGGUGCCGGAGCCGCUAGGGUACUCGAUGAAGAGUUUCAGCUCAUAGUCCAUGCCCGGCUUGGAGACAGCGUCGAAGGCAAAGACGCGGCCCAGCAGGGCGUGAUCCUUCUUGAAGCGCACCUCGUAGGGGGUGCAGCCGGCCAGAGUGAGCAGCGUGUCCCUCACGAUCUUGGGCUUGCUGGCCCACUCCUCGGCGCGAUUCCGCAAACUUUCGCUAAGCUCGGCCAGCGCCUCCGCGUUGCGCUGCUUCUCCUUCAGCUCCCGCUCUUGGUCACUGCUGGAUACCGAGCCCGGCCGCUUGCCGCAGGCCUCGGAGGACGAGCCGCCGCCUCCCCCGGCACCGCCGCCGCAGGUGCCCCCUUGGGAAGAGGCGGAGGGAGCGGGGGGACCCCCGCCGCCGCGGCCGCUCAGGCCCCCGUGCGGCGGAGGCAGCGCCACGCCGGAGGCAGCGGGGCCGUUCAGCAGCGUCUGCGGCAGCAGGUUGGGGGGCACGUUCAUCUGAGCGCCGGCGGCCCCCGGGGGCAGGCCAGACACGAGCCCCCCGUGCGCCCCGCGACGGGAGGAGGAAGAGGAGGAGGAGGAGUUGGGGCUCUGCCGGUUCAGCUCCGGUGGCCCGUCCUCAGGCUGCUUGGGGAAGCCAUUGGGGCCUCCCAGUCCGUUGGGCAGGCGGGCGCCAUGGCUGCUGCCCAGGCUGCCCGGCGGCGGCGGGUACUCGAAGCGGCUGCGCUGCUCCGCCGCGGCGGCGCUGAGCCCGUAGCGGUCCAGGCUGGACUGGGUCAGCCCCGCCGAGGCCGCCUUGGAGGUGGCAUCCACAUGGUUAAGCUGCUGCUGGGCCGCCGCCGCAGCCGCUUCUUUGGCGGAGAGCGUCACUGCCUUUACGCCGACCGGCGGCGGGGGGCCCGGGGAGCGACCGUCCUGGAAGCAGCCGUGCGCCCGUUUCAACUGCCGGGCCGUCUCAAUCACGAACUCGAUGCGGUCGGCGCCCUCAUAAUUAACGCAGCCCCGGCAGACGGGCUCCGUGAAGUCCCAGAUCAUGGCCCAGGGCAUGCGGGGCAGAUCGCAUAG
This 1560-nucleotide long non-coding RNA is filed under the name Taeniopygia guttata (zebra finch). RNAcentral describes it as "lncRNA (ENSTGUG00000012271.2)". The record is from RNAcentral. Lineage: Eukaryota; Metazoa; Chordata; Aves; Passeriformes; Estrildidae.